Molecule: ribosomal RNA, 253 nt
Filed under: uncultured bacterium
Lineage: Bacteria
Description: partial 16S ribosomal RNA
Rfam family: Bacterial small subunit ribosomal RNA
Source: RNAcentral
GACAGAGGGUGCAAACGUUGUUCGGAAUUACUGGGCGUAAAGCGUGUGUAGGCGGCUCUGCAAGUCGGAUGUGAAAGCCCUGGGCUCAACCCAGGAAGUGCACUCGAUACUGCAGGGCUUGAGUAUCGGAGAGGUUGGUGGAAUUCUCGGUGUAGAGGUGAAAUUCGUAGAUAUCGAGAGGAACACCGGUGGCGAAGGCGGCCAACUGGACGAAUACUGACGCUGAGACACGAAAGCGUGGGGAGCAAACAGG